CCUACGGGAGGCAGCAGUGGGGAAUAUUGGACAAUGGGCGAAAGCCUGAUCCAGCCAUGCCGCGUGUGUGAAGAAGGCCUUCGGGUUGUAAAGCACUUUCAGUGGGGAAGAAAGCCUUGGGGCUAAUACCCUCGAGGAAGGACAUCACCCACAGAAGAAGCACCGGCUAACUCCGUGCCAGCAGCCGCGGUAAUACGGAGGGUGCGAGCGUUAAUCGGAAUUACUGGGCGUAAAGCGCGCGUAGGCGGUCUGAUAAGCCGGUUGUGAAAGCCCCGGGCUCAACCUGGGAACGGCAUCCGGAACUGUCAGGCUAGGGUGCAGGAGAGGAAGGUAGAAUUCCCGGUGUAGCGGUGAAAUGCGUAGAGAUCGGGAGGAAUACCAGUGGCGAAGGCGGUCUUCUGGACUGACACUGACGCUGAGGUGCGAAAGCGUGGGUAGCAAACAGGAUUAGAUACCCCAGUAGUC
RNAcentral lists this ribosomal RNA (465 nucleotides) under Vreelandella stevensii. RNAcentral describes it as "partial 16S ribosomal RNA". It matches the Rfam family "Bacterial small subunit ribosomal RNA", at positions 338 to 795 of the family's 1533-position model. Lineage: Bacteria; Pseudomonadati; Pseudomonadota; Gammaproteobacteria; Oceanospirillales; Halomonadaceae. The record is from RNAcentral.